RNAcentral lists this long non-coding RNA (322 nucleotides) under Nicotiana benthamiana. Its description in RNAcentral is "long non-coding RNA (NBEN_LNC016669)". The record is from RNAcentral. Lineage: Eukaryota; Viridiplantae; Streptophyta; Magnoliopsida; Solanales; Solanaceae.
ACCACUGGAAGUUAAUGUAGAUUCUACAGAGGUAAUAGCAAUGCUUUCUAGCGAUAAUCUUUACUACUUAUCCUCUCUAAUGGAAUGCAGUUAUUACUCCAACAGCUGGGUAAUCUGCCCACCACUCAUACAUACAUGGAGAAAAACUAUGCAGCACAUUAUCUGGCGCAAAAUAUGGCUCAGCUACUCAAACUCAGGACACUACAACUAUUUUCAGUAAGCCACCACACUUUUUGCUCGAGCAACUAUUAGCUGACCAAGCAGGGACUGUCUAUCGGCGUAUUAUCAAACACUGCAAUACAAUGAACCUCCUCUAUGUUCC